GCCCCUGUAGCUCAGAGGAUAGAGCAGUGGUUUCCUAAACCAUGUGCCGCAGGUUCGAUUCCUGCCAGGGGCA
Molecule: transfer RNA, 73 nt
Filed under: Promethearchaeota archaeon
Lineage: Archaea; Promethearchaeati; Promethearchaeota
Description: Candidatus Lokiarchaeota archaeon (microbial mat metagenome) tRNA-Arg
Rfam family: tRNA
About the family: Transfer RNA (tRNA) molecules are approximately 80 nucleotides in length. Their secondary structure includes four short double-helical elements and three loops (D, anti-codon, and T loops).
Source: RNAcentral